GACGAACGCUGGCGGCGUGCCUAAUACAUGCAAGUCGAACGAACUCUGGUAUUGAUUGGUGCUUGCAUCAUGAUUUACAUUUGAGUGAGUGGCGAACUGGUGAGUAACACGUGGGAAACCUGCCCAGAAGCGGGGGAUAACACCUGGAAACAGAUGCUAAUACCGCAUAACAACUUGGACCGCAUGGUCCGAGCUUGAAAGAUGGCUUCGGCUAUCACUUUUGGAUGGUCCCGCGGCGUAUUAGCUAGAUGGUGGGGUAACGGCUCACCAUGGCAAUGAUACGUAGCCGACCUGAGAGGGUAAUCGGCCACAUUGGGACUGAGACACGGCCCAAACUCCUACGGGAGGCAGCAGUAGGGAAUCUUCCACAAUGGACGAAAGUCUGAUGGAGCAACGCCGCGUGAGUGAAGAAGGGUUUCGGCUCGUAAAACUCUGUUGUUAAAGAAGAACAUAUCUGAGAGUAACUGUUCAGGUAUUGACGGUAUUUAACCAGAAAGCCACGGCUAACUACGUGCCAGCAGCCGCGUUAAUACGUAGGUGGCAAGCGUUGUCCGGAUUUAUUGGGCGUAAAGCGAGCGCAGGCGGUUUUUUAAGUCUGAUGUGAAAGCCUUCGGCUCAACCGAAGAAGUGCAUCGGAAACUGGGAAACUUGAGUGCAGAAGAGGACAGUGGAACUCCAUGUGUAGCGGUGAAAUGCGUAGAUAUAUGGAAGAACACCAGUGGCGAAGGCGGCUGUCUGGUCUGUAACUGACGCUGAGGCUCGAAAGUAUGGGUAGCAAACAGGAUUAGAUACCCUGGUAGUCCAUACCGUAAACGAUGAAUGCUAAGUGUUGGAGGGUUUCCGCCCUUCAGUGCUGCAGCUAACGCAUUAAGCAUUCCGCCUGGGGAGUACGGCCGCAAGGCUGAAACUCAAAGGAAUUGACGGGGGCCCGCACAAGCGGUGGAGCAUGUGGUUUAAUUCGAAGCUACGCGAAGAACCUUACCAGGUCUUGACAUACUAUGCAAAUCUAAGAGAUUAGACGUUCCCUUCGGGGACAUGGAUACAGGUGGUGCAUGGUUGUCGUCAGCUCGUGUCGCGAGAUGUUGGGUUAAGUCCCGCAACGAGCGCAACCCUUAUUAUCAGUUGCCAGCAUUAAGUUGGGCACUCUGGUGAGACUGCCGGUGACAAACCGGAGGAAGGUGGGGAUGACGUCAAAUCAUCAUGCCCCUUAUGACCUGGGCUACACACGUGCUACAAUGGAUGGUACAACGAGUUGCGAACUCGCGAGAGUAAGCUAAUCUCUUAAAGCCAUUCUCAGUUCGGAUUGUAGGCUGCAACUCGCCUACAUGAAGUCGGAAUCGCUAGUAAUCGCGGAUCAGCAUGCCGCGGUGAAUACGUUCCCGGGCCUUGUACACACCGCCCGUCACACCAUGAGAGUUUGUAACACCCAAAGUCGGUGGGGUAACCUUUUAGGAACCAGCCGCCUAAGGUGGGACAGAUGAUUAGGGUG
RNAcentral lists this ribosomal RNA (1489 nucleotides) under Lactiplantibacillus argentoratensis. RNAcentral describes it as "bacterial SSU rRNA". It matches the Rfam family "Bacterial small subunit ribosomal RNA". The record is from RNAcentral. Lineage: Bacteria; Bacillati; Bacillota; Bacilli; Lactobacillales; Lactobacillaceae.